RNAcentral lists this small RNA (485 nucleotides) under Pongo abelii (Sumatran orangutan). Its description in RNAcentral is "processed transcript". The record is from RNAcentral. Lineage: Eukaryota; Metazoa; Chordata; Mammalia; Primates; Hominidae.
AAAGAAUAUUAGAAGAAAUUAAAGCGGAAAGAAAGCUGCGGCCUGUCUCACCAGAGGAGAUUAGACGUAGCAGAUCAGAUGUGACUACCCCUGAAUCUACAAAGAAUCUUGUGGAGUCAUCUAUGGUGAAUGGAGGUUUGACAUCACAAACAAAAGAAAACAGGUUAAGUACCACACAGCAGGUGCCUGCACAGCGGAAGAAGCUCCUCAAAGCCCCAACUCUGGCCGAACUGGACAGCUCUGAGUCUGAGGAAGAAACGCUGCACAAGUCGACCAGCAGCAGCAGCGUGUCUCCCUCUUUCCCUGAAGAGCCAGUCCUGGAGGCCGUGUCCACAAGGAAGAAGCCUCCAAAAUUCCUGCCCAUAUCAUCAACACCCCAGCCAGAGAGACGGCAGCCACCCCAGAGACGACAUUCCAUUGAAAAAGAAACGCCUACUAACGUGAGGCAGUUCCUGCCGCCUUCCAGGCAGAGUUCCCGCUCUCUU